UGGCCUACGGGGGGCUGCAGUGAGGAAUAUUGGUCAAUGGGCGCAAGCCUGAACCAGCCAUCCCGCGUGCAGGAAGACGGCCCUAUGGGUUGUAAACUGCUUUUCCAGGGGGAGAAACUUGCGCACGUGUUGCGCAAUUGACGGUACCCUGGGAAUAAUCAUCGGCUAACUCCGUGCCAGCCGCCGCGGUAAUACGGAGGAUGCGAGCGUUAUCCGGAUUCAUUGGGUUUAAAGGGUGCGUAGGCGGACUAUUAAGUCAGGGGUGAAAUCCUGCAGCUUAACUGCAGAACUGCCAUUGAUACUGAUAGCCUUGAGUUUGGUUAAGGUAGGCGGAAUGUGUAAUGUAGCGGUGAAAUGCUUAGAUAUUACACAGAACACCAAUUGCGUAGGCAGCUUACUGAGCCGACACUGACGCUGAGGCACGAAAGCGUGGGGAUCGAACAGGAUUAGAUACCCCGGUAGUCC
Molecule: ribosomal RNA, 465 nt
Filed under: uncultured Bacteroidales bacterium
Lineage: Bacteria; Pseudomonadati; Bacteroidota; Bacteroidia; Bacteroidales
Description: bacterial SSU rRNA
Rfam family: Bacterial small subunit ribosomal RNA
Source: RNAcentral